UCUGGGCCCGCCCGGCACUCGUAGCCGCCCCUUUCCCGUGAGGCGAGUCGGAGCCGCCGUCGCCCGGUGGCCCCGGUUCGAGUCCCCGCGUCGGACGCCAUGGCGGGCUCCGAGCCGGGGGCCCCGGGCCGGAGCGGCAGCGCCGCGCGCCUGGCCCCGCUGGGCCCCGAUCAGCUGCGGCAGGUCCUGGAGCAGGUGGCCCAGGCGCAGCCGCCGCCCUCCGUCCCGCGGGCCGCCCCGCAGCCGGGUCCCCGCGCCCAGCUCGUGCGCCCGCCGCGCCCGCUGCCGCCCCAGCAACUGGAAACCAUCUGUGUCACGGUAACGUCUGGAGAAACGAAAGGUCAGGAAAGGCCGAAGCCCCAGCUGGCCACCGUCCAUCCCAGGACAGCCCGGCCGAGCCAGCCGCCCGGGAGGCACUGCCGCGUGUUGGGGCUCAGCGUCGCCAGCCCUCGGCUGCCCAGGGCACAGCCCCUCCUGAGCGCCCGGCCGCAGCCUCCUGUCCAGGUGCUGCUCCAGAGGUCACUGCCCGCCCUCCAGCCGGUCCCUGCGGUGAGACUUGUGGCUCCCCAGGCGCCAAAUGGACUCGGCGCCACGUCGGCCCCUCAGCCAACCUCCGGCCAGCCGGCAGUAACAUCUGUUUCAUCCAGUUCAGCAAAUUUAUUUAGUUCCAACUUGCAUACAAAAGACACUGAGAAACUAAAAAAACCUUUCAAAGUGAAAACACGUUCUGGGCGGAUAUCUCGACCUCCCAGGUAUAAAGCCAAAGAUUAUAAAUUCAUACGGAUGGAGGAUUUGGCCGACAGCCACCCGUCCGACUCGGACGAUUAUUCAGAACUGAGUGUGGAAGAGGAGGAGGAGCAGAGGGACAAGCAGGCGCUCUUUGACUUGCCGAGCAGCUCCCUGAGGCCCAGAGCCUUCAGGUGUCAGACGUGUGGGAAGUCGUACAUAGGGAAGGGGGGACUGGCCCGGCACUUUAAACUCCAGCCGGGCCACGGCCAGCCCCCGCCGGAGCCGUUGCUGUCUGAGAAAGCCCAGGGGAGCAUGGCCCGGGGCUGUGCGGAGGGCAGGCCCCGUGGCCCCACGCCCCCGGGACCGUCCACACCAGCUCCUCUGAGUGCGGAAGGGGCCCCGUCAGCUCGGGGUGGCCCGCAGAAUGGUCAGCCUAUGGAAGGGGAAGCAGCGCUGGUGACGGAACCAGCAGAUGGACGUUACGCAGCCCUUUGGGAAUCAGAGAGACGCCCCGGACCUGAAAGGGGCUACGCCCCCGCCCCCGCGGGCCAGAGCCGAGCUGCCAGGAGCAGAGCCCGGCUCCAGGAGGUUCUGCAGCAGUGUGCGCUCGAGGACCUCGUGGAGUUGGCUCUGCCCCGGCUAGCCCAGGCCGUGACCGUGUAUGAAUUUCUGCUGACGAAGGCGAGUGCUGAGAAAGGUCAUCAGCCUGUGUUCCCAGCCGUGUACAAGGAGUUUGAAGAGUUGCAUCAGAUGGUUAAAAAAAUGUGUCAGGAUUACCUCCGUGGCCCCAGCCCGCGAUCUCAGGAGCCCCUGGAAAUAAAGGAUCCCGAGACGGCGCCUCGCUGGACAGAGGGACUUCGCAGACUCAGAGGCAGGCCUUCAGUCCUUCACCCUGUGCUCCUCAGGUGGCUGAGUCCUUGGGAAUCGCGGAGGAAUUCCUGCGCAAGGAAGAAACACACACCGACGACGGCAUCGGACACUCGUGCAGCGGCAGGGAGGCCAGCCCGCCGAAGAGGGAGGACGAGACCGCAGGGGAGACACUGACUUCAGCGAAAAGGCCCAGAAGGGCAGCUCUGCCCCAGGAGCCCCCCGAGGCUUCCGCCUGCAGCGGCCAGAGGACACCGGCGGCGUCCCCGGGCGGCCAGCAAGGGUUUGCCCCCGGAGUCAAUGGGACCGCCUGUCCCCGGCGUGAGGAGGGCCACACCACACCGAGAUCUGCGGGCAACAGCAGCACGGGCUGGGCCAGCAGCUGAGAGCGCUUGCCGGCGUAGCAGCCAGGAGCCUGUGUGGAACCCCCUUGCGUGGGAUGUCAGUGGGCCGGGCCUUCACGCUCAGCCCGGACAGCCCAGCCGGGGGUGCUGACCCGGAGCCGGCCGCAGCGAGCCCCACCGAGGCUGCGCAGGGAGCCUCUUCAGACCUGGGCGGCGGGGACUCCGCGGCGGCUGCAUGUCCGCGGGAGGGGUGCGUCCCUGCUGCCUGGCGGGGCUGGAGCCCCGGAGUGCCGGCGAGGCCCUGCUCACGCGGCUGCGGUCCCUCCGCCGGAGAAAGUCUUGUCCCUGCAGCCCGUGUCCCAGCCGGGCCUCCGCUGUCUGCUCGGUGGGUCUCGGGCCACGUGCGGGGCUUGGACCUGUCGCCCUUCGGACCCGGCCACACACUGACCAGAGGGAACCGGAGAGCGUCGUCCCGAGGGUGAGGCCGUGGCUUUGAGAUCACCAGCGGGUGCCCGGAGCCGUUGUCUUCCCACGUGACUGUCCUGGCGCCUCCGGGCGCCGUAGUGUCUGGGAGGCGGGCAUUGUUCACCGGCCCUGAGCGGAGCGGCCUGCCCUGCAGCCCGGCCCGGGAGGGCUUCCUCCGGAGACCGAGGCGCAGAGCCCUCCCCGCGAGAGGGAGUCAGAACACAGCCUGACGGACUGAUUUUAUGCAGAGGGUCUAUUUCAAGGCGUGUAUAUUUUUCUAAUGUGAAUACUGACACCAAGGAGCCUUUUAUUUAUAAAGAAUGAUGUCUUUCCACCCCA
RNA transcript from Myotis daubentonii (Daubenton's bat), 2744 nucleotides. It is a transcript of the gene named zinc finger protein 839, with no coding region annotated. Lineage: Eukaryota; Metazoa; Chordata; Mammalia; Chiroptera; Vespertilionidae. The record is from RefSeq and is a predicted model, not a curated record.